GCGCCAGUAGCUCAGUUGGAUAGAGCAACGGCCUUCUAAGCCGUGGGCCGGGGGUUCGAAUCCUCCCUGGCGCGCCA
Molecule: transfer RNA, 77 nt
Filed under: Desulfobulbus propionicus
Lineage: Bacteria; Pseudomonadati; Thermodesulfobacteriota; Desulfobulbia; Desulfobulbales; Desulfobulbaceae
Also listed under: 5 other names
Description: tRNA-Arg
Rfam family: tRNA
About the family: Transfer RNA (tRNA) molecules are approximately 80 nucleotides in length. Their secondary structure includes four short double-helical elements and three loops (D, anti-codon, and T loops).
Source: RNAcentral